RNAcentral lists this long non-coding RNA (264 nucleotides) under Lathyrus oleraceus (garden pea). Its description in RNAcentral is "Pisum sativum (pea) long non-coding RNA (PSAT_LNC005570)". Lineage: Eukaryota; Viridiplantae; Streptophyta; Magnoliopsida; Fabales; Fabaceae. The record is from RNAcentral.
UGAAUAAAUGAUAGAAACAUGUUAGUUAAAUGGUAAGGCUAGGUAAUUAAAUGUGAGAAUUAAAGAAAAUAUGGAAAAAUCAAAAUGUUGGAAAACCAAAGCAACAUACCCGGGUAUUGAACCCACCCCACUCAAGACUAUGAUACUACCCUUCUCCACCAGACCACUCAUGGUUAUUUAUUAUUUUGAUGCUACUUUAAAUAUAUAAACCAAAAUAGAUUAAACAUUAGAAUAAAAACUAAAAUAAAAAAAGUCUGUUGGACU